RNAcentral lists this ribosomal RNA (117 nucleotides) under Desulfobacca sp. RBG_16_58_9. The record is from RNAcentral. Lineage: Bacteria; Pseudomonadati; Thermodesulfobacteriota; Desulfobaccia; Desulfobaccales; Desulfobaccaceae.
GUGAGCCGCCAUAGCGCCGGGGCCACACCCGAUCCCAUCCCGAACUCGGUAGUUAAGCCCGGCAACCCCGAUGAUACUACGUGGGCGACUGCGUGGGAAAGUAGGACGCCGCCGGAU